Molecule: ribosomal RNA, 492 nt
Filed under: uncultured bacterium
Lineage: Bacteria
Description: partial 16S ribosomal RNA
Rfam family: Bacterial small subunit ribosomal RNA
Source: RNAcentral
AGUGAACGCUGGCGGUAGGCCUAACACAUGCAAGUCGAACGGCAGCACAGUAAGAGCUUGCUCUGACGGGUGGCGAGUGGCGGACGGGUGAGGAAUACAUCGGAAUCUACUUUUUCGUGGGAGAUAACGUAGGGAAACUUACGCUAAUACCGCAUACGACCUACGGGUGAAAGCAGGGCAUCUUCGGACCUUGCGCGGUUGAAUGAGCCGAUGUCGGAUUAGCUAGUUGGCGGGGUAAUGGCCCACCAAGGCGACGCUCCGUAGCUGGUCUGAGAGGAUGAUCAGCCGCACUGGAACUGAGACACGGUCCAGACUCAUACGGGAGGCAGCAGUGGGGAAUAUGGGACAAUGGGCGGAAGCCUGAUCCAGCCAUACCGCGUGGGUGAAGAAGGCCGUCGGGUUGUAAAGCCCUUUUGUUGGGAAAGAAAAGCAGCAGGUUAAUACCCCGCUGUUCUGACGGUAGCCAAAGAAUAAGCACCGGCUAACUUCGUG